RNAcentral lists this ribosomal RNA (465 nucleotides) under Vreelandella stevensii. Its description in RNAcentral is "partial 16S ribosomal RNA". It matches the Rfam family "Bacterial small subunit ribosomal RNA", at positions 338 to 795 of the family's 1533-position model. Lineage: Bacteria; Pseudomonadati; Pseudomonadota; Gammaproteobacteria; Oceanospirillales; Halomonadaceae. The record is from RNAcentral.
CCUACGGGGGGCAGCAGUGGGGAAUAUUGGACAAUGGGGGCAACCCUGAUCCAGCCAUGCCGCGUGUGUGAAGAAGGCCCUCGGGUUGUAAAGCACUUUCAGUGAGGAAGAACGCCUGGUGGUUAAUACCCAUCAGGAAAGACAUCACUCACAGAAGAAGCACCGGCUAACUCCGUGCCAGCAGCCGCGGUAAUACGGAGGGUGCGAGCGUUAAUCGGAAUUACUGGGCGUAAAGCGCGCGUAGGUGGCUUGAUAAGCCGGUUGUGAAAGCCCCGGGCUCAACCUGGGAACGGCAUCCGGAACUGUCAAGCUAGAGUGCAGGAGAGGAAGGUAGAAUUCCCGGUGUAGCGGUGAAAUGCGUAGAGAUCGGGAGGAAUACCAGUGGCGAAGGCGGCCUUCUGGACUGACACUGACACUGAGGUGCGAAAGCGUGGAUAGCAAACAGGAUUAGAUACCCGAGUAGUC